AACUAACGCUGGCGGCAUGCCUAACACAUGCAAGUCGAACGGGAUCUUGGCUUCGGUCAGGUGAGAGUGGCGGACGGGUGAAUAACACGUGGGAACCUGCCUUUUGGUUCGGGAUAACCGCGGGAAACUGCGGCUAAUACCGGAUACUCCCGAGAGGGGAAAGAUUUAUCGCCAGAAGAGGGGCCCGCGUCCGAUUAGGU
This 200-nucleotide ribosomal RNA is filed under the name uncultured bacterium. RNAcentral's name for it is "partial 16S ribosomal RNA". It matches the Rfam family "Bacterial small subunit ribosomal RNA", at positions 29 to 246 of the family's 1533-position model. The record is from RNAcentral.